UCCCUGAUAGCCUAGUUGGUAAAGAAUCUGCCUGCAAUGCAGGAAACCCCAGUUCAAUUCCUGGGUUGGGAA
Transfer RNA from Ovis aries (sheep), 72 nucleotides. It matches the Rfam family "tRNA". From Rfam's summary of the family: Transfer RNA (tRNA) molecules are approximately 80 nucleotides in length. Their secondary structure includes four short double-helical elements and three loops (D, anti-codon, and T loops). Lineage: Eukaryota; Metazoa; Chordata; Mammalia; Artiodactyla; Bovidae. The record is from Rfam.